RNAcentral lists this ribosomal RNA (253 nucleotides) under uncultured bacterium. RNAcentral describes it as "partial 16S ribosomal RNA". It matches the Rfam family "Bacterial small subunit ribosomal RNA", at positions 524 to 776 of the family's 1533-position model. The record is from RNAcentral.
UACGGGGGGGGCGAGCGUUGUUCGGAAUUACUGGGCGUAAAGGGCUCGUAGGCGGCCAACUAAGUCGGAUGUGAAAUCCCCAGGCUCAACCUGGGAACUGCAUCCGAUACUGGAUGGCUUGAAUUCGGGAGAGGGAUGCAGAAUUCCAGGUGUAGCGGUGAAAUGCGUAGAUAUCUGGAGGAAUACCGGUGGCGAAGGCGGCAUCCUGGACCGACAUUGACGCUGAGGAGCGAAAGCCAGGGGAGCAAACGGG